GCUGUGUAUUUAAAUAAAAAUAUAUGCCUAUAGCAUGUUUAGCAUGUUGUUAUCAAACUUGAUAAUUCACCGUUUCAGAAGCUAAAGGCCAUUAUAAAAUAAUUACUCUUGAAAUUAAGAUGUACAUGUACACUAACAAAACUUUUAGCCAAUUAAGUUACAUUAUAUUAUUAUCAAACCAAUCAAAACAAUUUGGUGUACGUUUUACUAACAUUGCUUUAGAUUCUGAGAUGGCGAAUUAAUCUUAUAUUGAUUUAUAUGAUAUAUAGGUUCCUAGAUAAUAGAGUUACUUUUGUACACAUGUAAUGUCGCGAUAUAACAUGUAUAACCAUGACUUACUUACAUGUAUCCUGGUACAGAAUAUUAAUUGGUCCAAAAUGACGGCUACACAUAAUAUAAUAUGAUACUUGUACAUAGU
Molecule: long non-coding RNA, 418 nt
Filed under: Mytilus galloprovincialis (Mediterranean mussel)
Lineage: Eukaryota; Metazoa; Mollusca; Bivalvia; Mytilida; Mytilidae
Source: RNAcentral